GAGUUUGAUUAUUGCUCAGAUUGAACGCUGGCGGCAGGCUUAACACAUGCAAGUCGAGCGGUAACAGGGGGUGCUUGCACCCCGCUGACGAGCGGCGGACGGGUGAGUAAUGCAUAGGAAACUGCCCAGUAGUGGGGGAUAGCCCGGGGAAACCCGGAUUAAUACCGCGUACGCCCUUCGGGGGAAAGCAGGGGAUCUUCGGACCUUGCGCUAUUGGAUGUGCCUAUGUCGGAUUAGCUAGUUGGUGGGGUAAAGGCCUACCAAGGUUACGAUCCGUAGCUGGUCUGAGAGGAUGAUCAGCCACAUCGGGAGUGAGACACGGCCCGAACUCCUACGGGAGGCAGCAGUGGGGAAUAUUGGACAAUGGGGGCAACCCUGAUCCAGCCAUGCCGCGUGUGUGAAGAAGGCUUUCGGGUUGUAAAGCACUUUCAGUGAGGAGGAAAAGUUGGUCGUUAAUACCGGCCAGCCUGGACGUUACUCACAGAAGAAGCACCGGCUAACUCCGUGCCAGCCGCC
RNAcentral lists this ribosomal RNA (516 nucleotides) under Marinobacter salsuginis. RNAcentral's name for it is "bacterial SSU rRNA". It matches the Rfam family "Bacterial small subunit ribosomal RNA", at positions 9 to 516 of the family's 1533-position model. The record is from RNAcentral. Lineage: Bacteria; Pseudomonadati; Pseudomonadota; Gammaproteobacteria; Pseudomonadales; Marinobacteraceae.